AUGGCAAUGAAAACAGCUAAUCACUUGCAGUUUACUGGACAACUUUCUUCAGCUGCAUUUCCUGUCCCACAAAGACAGCUCCUAUAGAUCAAGAACUUCCUGCAACUCAAUACAUGGAGACCUACUGACAACAGAAACCAUCACAAAGGAG
This is a long non-coding RNA of Chelonia mydas (Green sea turtle), 151 nucleotides long. RefSeq lists it as uncharacterized. NCBI's taxonomy places the organism in Eukaryota, Metazoa, Chordata, Testudines, Cheloniidae. The transcript is spliced from 3 exons. The record is from RefSeq and is a predicted model, not a curated record.